RNAcentral lists this non-coding RNA (26 nucleotides) under Mus musculus (house mouse). Lineage: Eukaryota; Metazoa; Chordata; Mammalia; Rodentia; Muridae. The record is from RNAcentral.
UGACCCUCUACUCAGCAGACUUCUGA